This 26-nucleotide non-coding RNA is filed under the name Mus musculus (house mouse). Lineage: Eukaryota; Metazoa; Chordata; Mammalia; Rodentia; Muridae. The record is from RNAcentral.
UGGUCCACGUGCCCCACAGACGUACC